UAGGGAAUCUUCGGCAAUGGACGAAAGUCUGACCGAGCAACGCCGCGUGAGUGAAGAAGGUUUUCGGAUCGUAAAACUCUGUUGUUAGAGAAGAACAAGGACGUUAGUAACUGAACGUCCCCUGACGGUAUCUAACCAGAAAGCCACGUCUAACUUCGUUCCAGCAGCCGCGGUAAUACGUAGGUGGCAAGCGUUGUCCGGUUUUAUUGGGCGUAAAGCGAGCGCAGGCGGUUUCUUAAGACUGAUGUGAAAGCCCCCGGCUCAACCGGGGAGGGUCAUUGGAAACUGGGAGACUUGAGUGCAGAAGAGGAGAGUGGAAUUCCAUGUGUAGCGGUGAAAUGCGUAGAUAUAUGGAGGAACACCAGUGGCGAAGGCGGCUCUCUGGUCUGUAACUGACGCUGAGGCUCGAAAGCGUGGGGAGCAAACAGG
This 429-nucleotide ribosomal RNA is filed under the name Gemmatimonadota bacterium. RNAcentral's name for it is "Gemmatimonadetes bacterium partial 16S ribosomal RNA". It matches the Rfam family "Bacterial small subunit ribosomal RNA", at positions 355 to 776 of the family's 1533-position model. The record is from RNAcentral. Lineage: Bacteria; Pseudomonadati; Gemmatimonadota.